CGACUACAGUCAGAGUUUGAUCCUGGCUCAGGACGAACGCUGGCGGCGUGCUUAACACAUGCAAGUCGAACGGGCGGAUUUGGUAGCUUGCUAUCAUUGAAGCUAGUGGCAAACGGGUGAGUAACGCGUAGGCAACCUGCCUCUUGGAUGGGGACAACAUUCCGAAAGGGAUGCUAAUACCGAAUGAUGUAUGAUUUCCGCAUGGGAGUCAUACCAAAGGCCGAGCAAUCGGUCACCAGGAGAUGGGCCUGCGUCUGAUUAGCUAGUUGGUGGGGUAACGGCUCACCAAGGCGACGAUCAGUAGCCGGUCUGAGAGGAUGAACGGCCACAUUGGGACUGAGACACGGCCCAG
RNAcentral lists this ribosomal RNA (352 nucleotides) under uncultured bacterium. RNAcentral's name for it is "bacterial SSU rRNA". It matches the Rfam family "Bacterial small subunit ribosomal RNA", at positions 1 to 334 of the family's 1533-position model. The record is from RNAcentral.